AGGGCGUGGAAUCUGCCUUUUGUUAGCCAGCACCAAGGCUAAACAGAAAAGGGCACAGGUGAAGAUGAAAGGGAAAAAUCACAUCACAAAAAAUGGCAACAUGACAACAGGAAAAGACCCAGCCAAAUGGUUUGUGAAACAAUCACUGUGGCAAUACUGGGAGACGUCAGCACUCCAGACAUAAACAUUCAUUGAGAUUAAGCUGUCCUGAGGACUCCAAUAGUAUGAGAUCACAUCUCUUCCCAGAGACCAGGUCUCUCCACACCAAGGGCACUGCAGGGCUCUGUUGCACCAAGGGUGAGCAGAUGCUGCUGUAAGUUAUUAACUGUGACUUUCAAUUCAGCCUGACAAGAAGGAGUUAAUGGAGGAGCCCCAUUACAAUGGUA
Lepidothrix coronata (blue-crowned manakin) is the source of this 386-nucleotide long non-coding RNA. RefSeq lists it as uncharacterized. The transcript has 3 exons. Lineage: Eukaryota; Metazoa; Chordata; Aves; Passeriformes; Pipridae. The record is from RefSeq and is a predicted model, not a curated record.